GUUGCAAGUUCUUGCUGUUGCCGCGCAUUUUUGCUUGUACUCAAUUUUAGGUCUGGCAUCGAAUUUUUCAAGUUCUGUUCGUUUCCCUUCUUCGCUUCUUGAUUUGAUCCUUCUAUUCGCUUUCGUAGAGGAGUUCUUGUUGUAUUACCUGCAGAGGAAGGACACAACUGGAAUUGAGAACAGGUAUUUUGAUCUUUUGCUUGUUCCCAUUGCGAUGUGUAUUUUUUCUACGAUUCUGGAGUUAAAGUCUUCCUCAAAAUCGAAUAAUUAUGCAAGAAUG
RNAcentral lists this unclassified non-coding RNA (280 nucleotides) under Hevea brasiliensis (rubber tree). Lineage: Eukaryota; Viridiplantae; Streptophyta; Magnoliopsida; Malpighiales; Euphorbiaceae. The record is from RNAcentral.